CGGACGGGUGAGUAAUGUCUGGGAAACUGCCUGAUGGAGGGGGAUAACUACUGGAAACGGUAGCCAAUACCGCAUAACGUCGCAAGACCAAAGAGGGGGACCUUCGGGCCUCUUGCCAUCGGAUGUGCCCAGAUGGGAUUAGCUAGUAGGUGGGGUAAAGGCUCACCUAGGCGACGAUCCCUAGCUGGUCUGAGAGGAUGACCAGCCACACUGGAACUGAGACACGGUCCAG
Molecule: ribosomal RNA, 232 nt
Filed under: uncultured bacterium
Lineage: Bacteria
Description: partial 16S ribosomal RNA
Rfam family: Bacterial small subunit ribosomal RNA
Source: RNAcentral